Molecule: long non-coding RNA, 5149 nt
Organism: Dermacentor albipictus
Lineage: Eukaryota; Metazoa; Arthropoda; Arachnida; Ixodida; Ixodidae
Source: RefSeq, a predicted model, not a curated record
CGCUGAUGCUUCACUGGUCUGGCGUUAUUGCGAGCGCGCCAUGGCUAUGCUACAGUGGCGACGAGGAUGGACAUCGCCCAUGCAGUGAAAGUCGACGCUGAACCGGAACCCACGCAGAACCGAGAAACCAAGGUCAUCAUGGCUCACCAACUUCCCGACUUCGAAGAAGGCAAAGAUAAGUGGAAGCCGUACCUUAUAAAAGUAGAAUCAUACUUUGAAGCGAAUGCGAUUGAAGACUCGACUAAGAAAAGAGCAUUGCUUGUUGCUGCGUUAAAUACGCAUACGAUCCAAGUGCUGGCAGGGAAGGUGGCUCCACGCAAGCCAAAUGCAUUGACGUAUGAAGAAGUCGUCGAAGUUUUGAGUGAGCACUACAGUCCCAAGAGACACGAAAUCACCGAAAGCUACAAGUUUUUCAGUCGUUGUCAAGCGGAGGGCGAGCCUGUUAAUGAAUUCCUGGUAGACAUUCGCCGAAUAGCUGACAAUUGCAAUUUUGGCAGUGCUUUGGAUCGCAUGCUUCGAGAUCGCAUUGUUUGUGGAAUACGGUCAGGUGCCCUGCAGAAGCAGCUACUGGCACAGCGGGAAUUAACGCUACAAGACGCUGAAGCGAUGGCCCUUGCAGCUGAGGCUGCAGAUAGUGAUGUAAAAGAGAUGAUCGGACCGGCAACGACACCCGUGCUAAAAGUACAGGCGUAUCUGAGAGAAACUCUAGUGGAUGAGAGGAGGGCUGCCGCACGUCAAGAAUGCGCAAGGUGCGGUAGUACAAAACAUAAUGACGCGUGUUGCCCCUGGUCUAACGCUCGCUGUUACCGCUGUGGACGACGUGGUCACCUUGCAAGGAAAUGUCGAAGUCGCGGGGCUCGAGAACAAGGCACUGCAAGGACAGCCCAAACUAACACCCUCUUGGGGACGGAAGCCUCAGCCGACGAGGAAUCCGAAGCCGCCCACAUUUGGACUUUGGUAUCCCAACGAAAAAGCUGUCUGGAACCGCCGAUCCGCCGAACGUUUGCUUGGUGCGGUGUGCAGCUCAGCAUGGAAGUUGAUACCGGGUCGCCCGUUUGUGUCAUCCCGCGUGAACUAUAUUAUAAGCACCGUGAGCAAUGGCCGAAACUGAAACCGUCCAGACUCAAUUUAUCUUGCUACACAGGACGCCUUCCAGUACUUGGGGAGCUUGCGCUCCAGGUUUGACAGUGGAGUGGUGGUGAAAGGGGUGACAGUGGAGUGUGCGCUGACAGUCUUGGACUGUGCGGGACCAAGCCUCUGCGGUCGCGAUUUAAUCCAGUGGCUGAACAGCGCAGGUGCUCCAGUGGUUAGUUUUGUAGAGACCUCGGCGGUAACAAAUGACUCGAGCGAAUCCAGCGUGAACAGCAUAUUCAAUGACUACAACGACGUGUUCUCCGAGGAACUGGGGCUAAUCAAGGGUCCUCCAGCCAGCCUGCACAUGAAGGAAGGCGCCGUACCCAAGUUCUGCAAGGCCAGACCCAUUCCAUACGCGCUACGCGAGCGAGUGUCACUCGAGCUAGACCGUUUAGUUUCUGUGGGCGUGCUGUCGCCGGUGGCACACUCUGAAUGGGCAACGCCCAUAGUCGUAGUGCUUAAGAAAGACGGCGCAGUAAGAAUCUGCGGGGAUUUCAAGGCCACAGUAAAUCCAGCGUGUGCAACUGAGCAAUACCCAUUGCCAAUCAUUGAGGAUAUGUUUGCCCGAUUACACGAUGGGGACUAUUUCAGCACUCUGGAUUUACGGGAUGCAUACAAUCAAGUGGCGCUAGACGAUAACGCGAAGAAAGUUUGCGUCAUUAAUACGCCAAAAGGGCUAUUUUGCUACAAUCGACUUCCUUUCGGUAUAGCCUCAGCGCCCGCAAUAUUCCAAAGGAAAAUGGAUGAGGUAUUGGCUGGCCUUCCAGGAGCACAGGCUUAUCUUGACGAUGUGCUCAUUUCUGAAAAAGCGAGUGACGGCGGCGAAAGGCUGAAAAACGUCUUACAGCGCUUCCGAGAGCGCGGUGUAAAGCUAAGGUUCGAUAAAUGCAACUUGCGCAGCCCAGCAGUAACUUAUCUAGGCCAUCGGAUCGAUCGUGAUGGGCUUCAUCCGACAGAAAAAAACCUUGACGCUAUCAUGAAGGCACCGAGCCCCUGUAAUGUCAGUGAGCUACGUUCAUUCUUGGGCAUGAUUACUUUUUACGCGCGGUUUCUGCCGAACAUGUCAACCACACUUGGCCCAUUGUAUCAACUGCUUGAAAAGAACGCACGCUGGCAAUGGAAACAGCCGCAAGAGCACGCGUUUGAUCUUGCCAAGCAAAGCCUUAAAACAGCCAAGGUUCUAGUUUAUUUAUUUAUUUAUUUAUUUAUAGAUACUGCGAUCUGAAAUCAGAUCAUAGCAGGGUGGGUAUACAUAGAUAUGUACAAGCAUGUAAACACAUACAAAUCCAUCACAUAUGCAGGCAUUUUAGGACAUUAAUGAAGAAUACAUACAAGAAAAAAAAAAAACAUACAACAGAUAACGCACACGAAUUCAUAACAUUUGCAAGCAUUUUUCAAACAUUGGUAAGGAAUUCUGGGUAACAAUAUGAGAAUUAAGAUCAUUCCAGUCUUUUAUUGUCCUAGGAAAAAAAGAAUAUUUGAAACAGUUAUUCCGUGCGUUGAUGGGGGUUAUCGAUAAAGCAUGCCUUCGUCUCGUGUUAUAACCAGAUGAGUAAGUAAAGAACUUGGAAGUGUUAACCUUAUAAUGGCCGUUUACAAGUUGGAAGAGGAACUUUAAUCGACAGAUACGGUUGCGCACAGUCACCGGGGGUAAUCCACUGCGCCUUACGAGCUCACCAACUGACGCGCGGCCGUAUGAAUUAAAAACAAACCUAACUACCUUAUGCUGUACACGUUCCAGUUUUUUAAUAUUGGUUAAAGUGAAUGGGUCCCAAAUAAUUACGGCAUAUUCCAACAACGGACGAAUGUAGGAAUUGUACGCCAGUAGACGAACACCAGACGUAGAUGAUUUCAGUGAGCGCCUCAAGAAAAACAGUUUACGCAAAGAAUUCGCAACAACAUUAUCUAUGUGCUUCGUCCAGGAAAGCUCAUUGGUUAUCCAUAGGCCCAAAUAUUUGUACUCUCUUACCUCUGAUAGAGAUACGUUGUCAACAUUAUAUGCAAAUUGAAGAGGUUCUUUCUUAUGUGUGAUUCUCAUUUCAGUUCAGAUCAGAUCGUUUCAGAUCAGUUCAUUUCACAAAAGUUCAUUCUCAUAAAAAGUUCAUUUCGACCCUUCGAAGGAACUUAAACUGGAGUGUGACGCGUCUCCGUACGGUGUGGGAGCUGUCUUGUUUCACACGACCGGUAACGUUCACAGGCCCAUUAGGUUCCGCUCGCGAACAUUAACGCAGGCGGAGCGCAACUAUUCGCAGCUCGAGCGAGAGGCACUGGCACUGGUAUUCGGCGUCACGAAAUUCCGUGACUACCUUCUAGGUCGGGAAUUUACCUUAGUGACUGACCACCAGCCAUUGUUGGGCCUGCUGAAAUCGGACAAGCAGACGCCUACAAUGGCCGCCGCACGGAUACAACGUUGGGCACUCCACCUGUGGGCCUACCGCUACCGGCUACAGUAUGCACCAGGACGACAGAUGCUGAACGCUGACGCCCUCAGCCGACUUCCGCAAAGAUCUCCGGAAUCUGACGAUGACGGUGAGCCGCCCGAAUAUGUGCUGUCGCUAAACCAGCUGAACAAUGGCACCAUAACAACGCGUGAGCUGAAAGCAUUAACGGCUUUUGACCCUGUCCUGGUCGAGGUCAAACGGUACAUAUUACAUGAGUGGCUCAGAAACGCAAACGGAAUGGCCCGGGCCGUACUGCCGUUUUUUGACCGCAAGCUCGAAUUAUCCGUAGCACAUGAACUGGUGUACUGGGGUAAUAGGGUCAUAAUACCGACCGAAGCUAGGGAGCGAGUGCUGCAUCUUCUACAUGAAACGCACCAGGGUUCAACGGCAAUGAAAUCUGUCGCUCGUUCUUUGUUCUGGUGGCCAGGCCUCGACAAAAAUAUUGAAGACGUGUCUGCACAAUGCCAGUUCUGUGUGCAAAAUCUGCCGAUGCCAACUGCAGCUCCCGUCGUUAACUGGCCUGAGACAGGCGAAAAGUGGUCCCGUAUUCACAUUGACUACGCGGGUCCGAUCUGUGGAAAAAUGAUACUCGUACUAGUCGAUGCACACACCAAAUGGCUCGAAGCUAUACCUUUGUCACAUGCCUCAACGCAGACUACCAUUGACUGUCUGCGUGGCAUUUUCAGCAGGUGUGGAAUACCGCGCACAAUCGUUUCUGACAACGGGACCCCAUUUGCCAGUCAAGACUUCGCGUUGUUCGUGGCAAACAACAACAUUGUGCACCUUCGAUGCGCUCCAUACCAUCCCCAGUCUAAUGGUGCGGCGGAAAGGGCAGUACGAACGAUAAAAGAUGGUCUUCGAAAAAUGGCGAAAGGAAAACUUGAAGAGAACCUAGUACGGUUGCUUUUUAACUACCGGAGGACUCCGCAAAAAUCGGCACUUGCAGGACCAAAAGAGGACCAAGAUGACUGGCUGCCGCUACCUGCAAGUGAAGUGUAUGCCCGCAAUUACGGUGUGGGGAGCAAGUGGACGCCCGGUCAUGUGAAGGCGACGUCGGGAGCGAGAAUGGUGACCGUGGAAACAUCGGACGGAGUCAACCAGCGGCACGUGGACCAGGUCCGCCCGCGACAGGAAGUACCAGGGGACAAACCGACAGUAACUACAACCACCACACAUCGCAGUGAGCCGGACCAAGCAACACAACUACAGCAUCCAGAAACGGUGAAUCUGGAUGAAGGCAUAACUGCUCGGCGCAUUCUAAAUGGCACCCGUUCUCCAGACUUUGCGGCACCAGAUAUUCCAGUGGCCCCGUUGCAUACAGGUGUCGCCGAACAAACGCUGAGACGCUCAACGAGAGAACGCAAGCCAGUGCAACGCUUUCAUUUCUGAGGAGGAAGGAAUGUUGCAACUUAACGCAUUUUCGAAGUGCGCGCACCUUUUAUCGCCUUAUCUGGCGAUCCUUCGAGUUCGGAUUAUCACUACUAACACGUGCUCCUUUCUAUCUUCCUGCCACUCGGCUACUUAUAAAUACGCUCUACACCUUUGAAUAAACGUUCAUUUUGUUCUACUGACUA